This 465-nucleotide ribosomal RNA is filed under the name Vreelandella stevensii. RNAcentral describes it as "partial 16S ribosomal RNA". It matches the Rfam family "Bacterial small subunit ribosomal RNA", at positions 338 to 795 of the family's 1533-position model. Lineage: Bacteria; Pseudomonadati; Pseudomonadota; Gammaproteobacteria; Oceanospirillales; Halomonadaceae. The record is from RNAcentral.
CCUACGGGUGGCUGCAGUGGGGAAUAUUGGACAAUGGGCGAAAGCCUGAUCCAGCCAUGCCGCGUGUGUGAAGAAGGCCUUCGGGUUGUAAAGCACUUUCAGUGGGGAAGAAAGCCUUGGGGCUAAUACCCUCGAGGAAGGACAUCACCCACAGAAGAAGCACCGGCUAACUCCGUGCCAGCAGCCGCGGGAAUACGGAGGGUGCGAGCGUUAAUCGGAAUUACUGGGCGUAAAGCGCGCGUAGGCGGUCUGAUAAGCCGGUUGUGAAAGCCCCGGGCUCAACCUGGGAACGGCAUCCGGAACUGUCAGGCUAGAGUGCAGGAGAGGAAGGUAGAAUUCCCGGUGUAGCGGUGAAAUGCGUAGAGAUCGGGAGGAAUACCAGUGGCGAAGGCGGCCUUCUGGACUGACACUGACGCUGAGGUGCGAAAGCGUGGGUAGCAAACAGGAUUAGAUACCCCAGUAGUC